UUUAACUGCCUCGUCACCAUCUAUCAUCAUCCUCCAACACUCUCCCACCCUCAGCACCCUGCUGGUGCCAGUACUAUGUUAAACAGAAGAGGAAGGAUAAAGAUCAACAAGCCACAGAUGUGACCUGAGAUGGUGGGAGUUGAGGCAUAAGAGGAGAGGACUGGUGUUGCAGUGGGUACAAUUUUGCUUAAAGGAUAGAAGAGAGACCAGAUGACCUGCAAAACACCAUGUUCUGCUCAGGACUCUACUGUCCAUAUCACUCAAGGCCAACUGAGAACAGUGAAGAGGGACCAUCUAGCUUAUUGACCAAAGUUGUACUGCUGACAUCUGUUUUCAAGAUAAAAAGGAGCUCUCUUUUGUUCCCUCAAACAACUGAAUAUUCUAAGUCUCUUCCCUACACACAUCUCAAUCUACUGUGUUGUUCCUAAGACUAUCUCCAAAAAACCACCUGGGUACAACUCUCCAGCUCAAGAUCUGUUUCCUGGGGAGGUUAAUUCUGAGAGUGUUCCUAAAAAGGAGACUGAUGAUUUUGAAGAUGGGUCACCUACCAGCUGGCUGGGAAUAAAGACCCUGUCACUAGUGGCAGAUUAUAGAUAGCCCCUGGCCUACUGUAGUGGUGCAAUUGUUGAACUCUCAUAAGUGGUAACUGGUAUCGGAAUAGGUAGGUGAAAUAUCUCAGAUGUCUCAUUCCAUCAAUGCAUUUAAAGGGUAACAGA
Long non-coding RNA from Prionailurus viverrinus (fishing cat), 716 nucleotides. RefSeq lists it as uncharacterized. The record is from RefSeq and is a predicted model, not a curated record. The transcript is spliced from 4 exons. Lineage: Eukaryota; Metazoa; Chordata; Mammalia; Carnivora; Felidae.